GCCCUGUCCUCAACUGUGAAAGGGGAGUGAAAAGCUGCCAGGUGAAGGAAGAAGAUCUUGGGUAAUACAGCCUGGAGCUUCCUUCUGAGAAUGGAAAAUGUGAAUUUGAAUCACACCUAUAGAAGAGACCCUGACCCUCCAGUGAUAGACCAAUAACACAAGCACUGUGACAGCUGACUUUACCGGCAGCUUUGCAUGCUGCUGGAACACUUGGAAACUGGGAAAGGCAGCAGGAGUGGCUGCUCAGAAAGCAAGGAGGAGAGAAGGCCCUGGGGCUUUGCACAGCACAGUCCAAGAUCUGCUUACAGCAUCAUGGGAGCUGUUCAGCUGCAAAAGGCAGGAGUGUCAGGAGACAUCCCUCAUCUAGAUAUUUUGUCACCAGGGAGAAGUGAAGAGGUAAGUUUUAUUUUUUAUGCCAUCUGUACUGUUUUUGUAAGAAAAGUCUUUCCUCAAAAUAGUUUGGCAAUAAAUGUAUUUGAUAGGAGGCUUAAGUGUGGUCUGGGUUUUGUAAAAACUGCAUGUAACAUCCAGAAAGGUGACUGCAUAAUAAUAUUACUAGAAACAGUUAAUGAUAAUAUUUAA
Molecule: long non-coding RNA, 582 nt
Filed under: Struthio camelus australis
Lineage: Eukaryota; Metazoa; Chordata; Aves; Struthioniformes; Struthionidae
Description: lncRNA (ENSSCUG00000002679.1)
Source: RNAcentral